Long non-coding RNA from Cyprinus carpio (common carp), 357 nucleotides. The record is from Ensembl. Lineage: Eukaryota; Metazoa; Chordata; Actinopteri; Cypriniformes; Cyprinidae.
GAAGCAUGAGAUUGAGGACACUCUGCUCCUGCACCGAAAGAGUCUAAUUCAGAGACACUGCGCAUCAUCACUAAAGACCUUAUCAGGGACCUCAGGUUUUUGACGUUGCAUAUUUGACCUGUUUUUUGACGUUAAAUUUGAUGUCAAAUUGAUGUCUUUUCAUCAUCAGUUGCCCACUGUGAGAAUCCCAAAUGACAAUCCAUCUGGGCAGUCUGUCAUCCUGUCCUUGGCUGAGUUCAGGCAAAUAAUGGUGGAGUCUCAUGUUCCUAGUGAAGAGGAGAAGACCGCUCUGCUACAGGCCCAAUGCCAAGCCCAUGAGGAAGCCAUGGUAAGUCAUAAUUAUAUGUUUGACCCCAA